Molecule: ribosomal RNA, 253 nt
Filed under: uncultured bacterium
Lineage: Bacteria
Description: partial 16S ribosomal RNA
Rfam family: Bacterial small subunit ribosomal RNA
Source: RNAcentral
UACAUGGGGUGCAAACGUUGCUCGGAAUCAUUGGGCGUAAAGAGCUCGUAGGCGGUUUGUCGCGUCUGCUGUGAAAACCCGAGGCUCAACCUCGGGCCUGCAGUGGGUACGGGCAGACUAGAGUGCGGUAGGGGAGAUUGGAAUUCCUGGUGUAGCGGUGGAAUGCGCAGAUAUCAGGAGGAACACCAAUGGCGAAGGCAGAUCUCUGGGCCGUAACUGACGCUGAGGAGCGAAAGCGUGGGGAGCGAACAGG